CCUACGGGAGGCAGCAGUGGGGAAUUUUGGACAAUGGGCGCAAGCCUGAUCCAGCAAUGCCGCGUGAGUGAAGAAGGCCUUCGGGUUGUAAAGCUCUUUUGUCAGGGAAGAAACGGUGGGAGCUAAUAUCUCCCGCUAAUGACGGUACCUGAAGAAUAAGCACCGGCUAACUACGUGCCAGCAGCCGCGGUAAUACGUAGGGUGCAAGCGUUAAUCGGAAUUACUGGGCGUAAAGCGUGCGCAGGCGGUUUUGUAAGUCUGUCGUGAAAGCCCCGGGCUCAACCUGGGAAUUGCGAUGGAGACUGCAAGGCUUGAAUCUGGCAGAGGGGGGUAGAAUUCCACGUGUAGCAGUGAAAUGCGUAGAGAUGUGGAGGAGCACCGAUGGCGAAGGCAGCCCCCUGGGUCAAGAUUGACGCUCAUGCACGAAAGCGUGGGGAGCAAACAGGAUUAGAUACCCUGGUAGUCCACGCCCUAAACGAUGUCUACUAGUUGUCGGGUUUUAAUUAACUUGGUAACGCAGCUAACGCGUGAAGUAGACCGCCUGGGGAUCGGUCGCAAGAUUAAACNCAAAGGAUUGACGGNGNGAGAGNGCGAGACGACGACGAGGGAGGAGG
RNAcentral lists this ribosomal RNA (614 nucleotides) under uncultured bacterium. RNAcentral describes it as "bacterial SSU rRNA". It matches the Rfam family "Bacterial small subunit ribosomal RNA", at positions 338 to 948 of the family's 1533-position model. The record is from RNAcentral.